GACGAACGCUGGCGGCGUGCUUAACACAUGCAAGUCGAACGGAAAGGCCCUGCUUUGGUGGGGUGCUCGAGUGGCGAACGGGUGAGUAACACGUGAGUAACCUGCCCUUGACUUUGGGAUAACUUCAGGAAACUGGGGCUAAUACCGGAUAGGAGCUCCUGCUGCAUGGUGGGGGUUGGAAAGUUUUGGCGGUUGGGGAUGGACUCGCGGCUUAUCAGCUUGUUGGUGGGGUAGUGGCUUACCAAGGCUUUGACGGGUAGCCGGCCUGAGAGGGUGACCGGCCACAUUGGGACUGAGAUACGGCCCAGACUCCUACGGGAGGCAGCAGUGGGGAAUAUUGCACAAUGGGCGGAAGCCUGAUGCAGCAACGCCGCGUGCGGGAUGACGGCCUUCGGGUUGUAAACCGCUUUCGCCUGUGACGAAGCGUGAGUGACGGUAAUGGGUAAAGAAGCACCGGCUAACUACGUG
This 468-nucleotide ribosomal RNA is filed under the name uncultured bacterium. RNAcentral describes it as "partial 16S ribosomal RNA". It matches the Rfam family "Bacterial small subunit ribosomal RNA", at positions 28 to 507 of the family's 1533-position model. The record is from RNAcentral.